This 338-nucleotide unclassified non-coding RNA is filed under the name Hevea brasiliensis (rubber tree). Lineage: Eukaryota; Viridiplantae; Streptophyta; Magnoliopsida; Malpighiales; Euphorbiaceae. The record is from RNAcentral.
UCAAAAUUGCCAAAGCACAAUUAGAGGAGUUGAAGAAGGAUGCUCUUGAGGCCAUGGAAACCCAAAAGAAGAGGGAGGAAUUCAAGGACGAGGCAAUGAUAGAUGUGAAAUCUUUGGACAUCCGGAACUUCAUCUGAGAAUGUGCUGUGCUUGUUGACGGCUUUGAUUUGAUGCUAAACAAUUGUCCUGACACAAAGGAGACCACCUGCAUAGGAGGUGGGGAGUACAUCUGUUUUGCUUGAUAAUAAAGACCCAUCUAUUUUGCAGUUACAACUGCAGCAACUCGGUGGAUAUUAGGCUUUUUUGCCCAUUCAAUUUAAUUGAAAUGAAGAGCUGGA